AAGUGCUGAAGGCCAAAGUCUGUCAAAAGAUUUCAAAAACAUUUCCACAGCAAAUAGUGAGCUAAAAAUGCCAGAAAACCCUCUAAAACCAGCCAGCUACACCAGCUAAACCACCCUAAGCUCAGUAGGGCAACAACAAACGGUCAGCUCGCCUUCGUGCCCUUAACUGGGAUGUAUUGGAACAUAUUGCCGUGCUAAGUGUUAGCGACAGCCCUGGCUGAUGUACUGCUCCUCUCCACCCACUGUGAUGCCCCCUGUGAGUAGCCCUGGACUCAGGAAGGAGAUGAGCUUGCGUGGUCUGUCUGGUUUACUGAGCUCCAGGAUGACUGUGGCUGGCUUAGGAUGGAACCAGGAACCAGCUCCAUUCUCUCACACAC
Long non-coding RNA from Paramisgurnus dabryanus, 377 nucleotides. RefSeq lists it as uncharacterized. The record is from RefSeq and is a predicted model, not a curated record. Lineage: Eukaryota; Metazoa; Chordata; Actinopteri; Cypriniformes; Cobitidae.